This 391-nucleotide unclassified non-coding RNA is filed under the name soil metagenome. RNAcentral describes it as "partial contains 5.8S ribosomal RNA, internal transcribed spacer 2, and large subunit ribosomal RNA". The stretch from base 1 to 122 matches the Rfam family "5.8S ribosomal RNA", at positions 35 to 154 of the family's 154-position model. The record is from RNAcentral.
GAUGAAGAACGCAGCGAAAUGCGAUACUUGGUGUGAAUUGCAGAAUCCCGUGAACCAUCGAGUCUUUGAACGCAAGUUGCGCCCAAAGCCAUUAGGCCGAGGGCACGCCUGCCUGGGCGUCACACGUCGUUGCCCCCCCAUCUACUCCUUCGGGAUUGCGGGGGGCGGAUGAUGGCCUCCCGUGCGCCUCGUCGCGCGGUUGGCAUAAAUGCCAAGUCCUCGGCGACGCACGCCACGACAAUCGGUGGUUGCGAAACCUCGGUUGCCCGUCGUGUGCGGUCGUCGCGCAUCGAGGGCUCGAAAAAAUUGCCGGGCUCCGGCUCGGCUUUCAACGCGACCCCAGGUCAGGCGGGGUUACCCGCUGAAUUUAAGCAUAUCAAUAAGCGGAGGA